GACGAACGCUGGCGGCGUGCUUAACACAUGCAAGUCGAACGGAAAGGCCCUGCUUUUGUGUGGUUCUCGAGUGGCGAACGGGUGAGUAACACGUGAGUAACCUGCCCUUGACUUUGGGAUAACUUCAGGAAACUGGGGCUAAUACCGGAUAGGAGCUCCUGCUGCAUGGUGGGGGUUGGAAAGUUUCGGCGGUUGGGGAUGGACUCGCGGCUUAUCAGCUUGUUGGUGGGGUAGUGGCUUACCAAGGCUUUGACGGGUAGCCGGCCUGAGAGGGUGAACGGCCACAUUGGGACUGAGAUACGGCCCAGACUCCUACGGGAGGCAGCAGUGGGGAAUAUUGCACAAUGGGCGGAAGCCUGAUGCAGCAACGCCGCGUGCGGGAUGACGGCCUUCGGGUUGUAAACCGCUUUCGCCUGUGACGAAGCGUGAGUGACGGUAAUGGGUAAAGAAGCACCGGCUAACUACGUG
RNAcentral lists this ribosomal RNA (468 nucleotides) under uncultured bacterium. Its description in RNAcentral is "partial 16S ribosomal RNA". It matches the Rfam family "Bacterial small subunit ribosomal RNA", at positions 28 to 507 of the family's 1533-position model. The record is from RNAcentral.